AGCGAACGCUGGCGGCGUGCUUAACACAUGCAAGUCGAACGUGAAAUGUAGCAAUACAGAGUAAAGUGGCGUACGGGUGAGUAACACGUGGGUAAUCUACCAAAGAGCCUGGAAUAACCGACCGAAAGGUUGGCUAAUACUGGAUAGUUCAAAUGAAAUAUAAUGUUUCGAUUGGGAAAGGGAGCGAGCAAUCGCCUUCACUUUUUGAUGAGCCCGCGUCUGAUUAGCUAGUUGGUAGGGUAAUGGCCUACCAAGGCGACGAUCAGUAGCUGGUCUGAGAGGAUGAUCAGCCACACUGAACUGAAACACGGGCCAGACUCCUACGGGAGGCAGCAGUGGGGAAUCUUGCGCAAUGGACGAAAGUCUGACGCAGCCACGCCGCGUGAGUGAAGAAGGCCUUCGGGUUGUAAAGCUCUGUCGGAAGGGACAAAAACGUUUAAGGUUAAUAGCCUUAGAUCUUGAUGGUACCUUCAAAGGAAGCACCGGCUAACUUCGUGCCAGCCGCCGCAGUAA
RNAcentral lists this ribosomal RNA (513 nucleotides) under uncultured bacterium. RNAcentral's name for it is "partial 16S ribosomal RNA". It matches the Rfam family "Bacterial small subunit ribosomal RNA", at positions 29 to 523 of the family's 1533-position model. The record is from RNAcentral.